UACGUAGGGUGCGAGCGUUGUCCGGAUUUAUUGGGCGUAAAGAGCUCGUAGGCGGCUCACUAAGUCGGAUGUGAAAACUCCAGGCUCAACCUGGGGACGCCAUUCGAUACUGGUGUGGCUUGAGUUCGGUAGGGGAGCACGGAAUUCCUGGUGUAGCGGUGAAAUGCGCAGAUAUCAGGAGGAACACCGGUGGCGAAGGCGGCGCUCUGGGCCGAAACUGACGCUGAGGAGCGAAAGCGUGGGUAGCAAACAGG
This 254-nucleotide ribosomal RNA is filed under the name uncultured bacterium. RNAcentral's name for it is "partial 16S ribosomal RNA". It matches the Rfam family "Bacterial small subunit ribosomal RNA", at positions 524 to 776 of the family's 1533-position model. The record is from RNAcentral.